GACGAACGCUGGCGGCGUGCUUAACACAUGCCAGUCGAACGGUGAAGCGCCUUCCUUUUUGGUGGGUGUGGAUGAGUGGCGAACGGGUGAGUAACACGUGAGUAACCUGCCCCCUUCUUCUGGAUAACCGCAUGAAAGUGUGGCUAAUACGGGAUAUUCUGGGUCUGUCGCAUGAUGGGUCUGGGAAAGAUAUUGUUUCGGUGGGGGAUGGGCUCGCGGCCUAUCAGCUUGUUGGUGGGGUGAUGGCCUACCAAGGCGGUGACGGGUAGCCGGCCUGAGAGGGUGGGCGGUCACACUGGGGCUGAGACACGGCCAAGACUCCUACGGGAGGCAGCAGUGGGGAAUAUUGCACAAUGGGCGCAAGCCUGAUGCAGCGACGCCGCGUGAGGGAUGGAGGCCUUCGGGUUGUGAACCUCUUUCGCCAGUGAAGCAGGCCUGCCUCGUUUGUGGGUGGGUUGACGGUAGCUGGAUAAGAAGCGCCGGCUAACUACGUG
RNAcentral lists this ribosomal RNA (494 nucleotides) under uncultured bacterium. RNAcentral describes it as "partial 16S ribosomal RNA". It matches the Rfam family "Bacterial small subunit ribosomal RNA", at positions 28 to 507 of the family's 1533-position model. The record is from RNAcentral.